GACGUAAGGGGCCAGCGUUGCUCGGAAUUACUGGGCGUAAAGGGUUCGUAGGCGGUGUGGCAAGUCUGGGGUGAAAUCUCCAGGCUCAACUUGGAGGCUGCUUCCGAAACUGCCGCGCUAGAGUGCGAGAGAGGCCAGUGGAAUUGCAGGUGUAGCGGUGAAAUGCGUAGAUAUCUGCAGGAACACCCGUGGCGAAGGCGGCUGGCUGGAUCGCAACUGACGCUGAGGAACGAAAGCUAGGGGAGCAAACAGG
Molecule: ribosomal RNA, 253 nt
Filed under: uncultured bacterium
Lineage: Bacteria
Description: partial 16S ribosomal RNA
Rfam family: Bacterial small subunit ribosomal RNA
Source: RNAcentral